This is a long non-coding RNA of Ruditapes philippinarum (Manila clam), 398 nucleotides long. RefSeq lists it as uncharacterized. Lineage: Eukaryota; Metazoa; Mollusca; Bivalvia; Venerida; Veneridae. The transcript is spliced from 3 exons. The record is from RefSeq and is a predicted model, not a curated record.
UGCCAAGUGUUUAAACACUCAUACAUGGGACCUCGAAAAAGUAAUUUUAGUUGGCCAGCCCAGGAAUCAGCUCUAACCAAUUGAGCUAUGCGGGCUGUCGCGUGUUUAAGACAUUCCUUGGUAUCCGAGUAGAAAAAGAGCUACAGAGAAAACAAGCAGAUAGGAAAGGUAGACGUGACAACUUUGGUGGCAUAAAAAUGAAGAAAACACAACAAUAUGGAAAAUUGUGUUCACCAUUCCAGGCAUUGUCUGUACCAAGCGUCAUGGAUAUAAAGAUUCCAGAGAACAUGCCUCUAAGUUCUAGAAUGAUCAACAAAGGUUAUACAUCACUAAAUCUAACAGAAGACAAACUGAUGAACAUGGAUUUUAGUUAUGGUGGACGAGAAACACCACCUGGU